CAUGGUCACCCAAGUUCAUUAGGACAGAAAAAUGAGGAGAGAUUUGUCCAGUGGAGGACAAGUGGAAGGGAGUCUUGGCAGGAGGGAACAACAUGUGUUAAUAUUUGGCAAGUUUGGGGGAGAAUGGUGAGUUCAUGGUGGUAAUAACCUGAGACAUGGGUCUUUAUACCCCAAUCCUGAGCCAUGGAGAAAGGAAGGAAGGGGAGUCCAGCUGGAUUCCAGGUGGGAAAAUGUAGACAGUUUAAUAUGGCUAGCACAGGGUGACAAAAACCUUGCAGUUCUGCCACCUCUGCAUCCAUGGCAGGCAUCACUAAUUGAUCACCGCAUUCUCCUUCCCACUGAACACUGAUUCAACCUCACAGCCCUCAACACAGUGCUCUGGGGCCAGUCAUUACCAACUGUCACACUGUGUGUACCUAGCUGGAGAUGAGGGUGGAGAUCACAUCAAGAGAAGCCUAGAAUUUGAGAGUAAGAAGUUGAAAUAUGAUUCUCUGGGUAAUAGGGAGCCAUCAGACACGAAGGGGAGUGAUGAAACGAAGACUAAGGCUUAGGAAGGUCACUGCCAGUGGAAGGGAGGAACUUGGGCAGGGAAACCAGUGAGGCCUGUGCCAACGUCCAGGCCAUGAACCUGAACCUGAACCAGGAGCAGAGAAGUAGGGCCUGGUGACCGAGGAGGUGUUGCGGGACAGGAAAAAGGAGAGGGCAGUUAGGAUGACUCCCUGACCUCUGGAUGUCUUACCCUGUGUCUGGGAAGAUGCUGUGGGCAAGGCGGGUGUAAAGGCACAAUGGGAGGUCCUGAUAGGAAUCUUCUGUUCCAGGGGUCACCAGUGAGAGCCACCCUGAGACUCUGUGCCCCUAGGGGGAGAAAGGCCAAAUCGGUCUGGUUGAGUUUUACCCUGAGAGACACCAGAAUUUGCACGCAUACACCUUUUCAGACAUAAAAAUGUCUUCUCUACCCCUCAGAACUCUGCAGAGCAGGGGAGACUUGAUCUGCUGACCAAGUCUGGGGGUGACUGUAAGAAGCGGGGACUCACAUGUCAUUCCCUGGCCAGACAUCUGCUCAGCCCCAGGGCCACCAGAUGGGGUUGUGGAGAGCAGUGCCAGGGAAAGGCCCCUGGGGUUCCGGUUCCUGGGAGACAUGGAGGUCUGGGAGCAGAAGCUAUGGGAGGGUGGCAGAAGAAUUCAGUUUGGGACCCCCUGACUUUGAGGGUCUGUGGCACAGCAUGGGGUGAAGGAUGCCAGAUCAGGGGCUCCCAGGAGAGAACUCUGGGAAGAAGCUGGAACUCUGGGAGUCGUCAGGAGGCAGCUGACACUGCAAGCCUCGGAGGGAGAGCGUAGAGGGAGAGAAGCGGCAGCAGGAAGAAAGAAGCCUUGGAGAAGCCGACACCGAGGGAAGGGAGGAAAACUAGGAACUCACCUAAGAGCCCCACAGCUGCCAGAUCCAGCUCCUGACUGUCUUCCGGGCCAGAUCUCCCCUCCGGCAGCAGACAAGAUGCAUCUCUCACCAAGC
This 1510-nucleotide long non-coding RNA is filed under the name Macaca mulatta (Rhesus monkey). Its description in RNAcentral is "lncRNA (ENSMMUG00000065176.1)". Lineage: Eukaryota; Metazoa; Chordata; Mammalia; Primates; Cercopithecidae. The record is from RNAcentral.